GUAUGGUAUUGGCUUACCGUGGCAGUGACGGUUAACGGGGGAUUAGGGUUCGAUUCCGGAGAGGGAGCCUGAGAAACGGCUACCACAUCUAAGGAAGGCAGCAGGCGCGCAAAUUACCCAAUUCUAACAGCAUAAGAGAGGUAGUGACAAGAAAUAACAAUACAAGGCAAUUAAAAUGCUUUGUAAUUGGAAUGAUAGAAAUUUAAACACUUUUUAAAGUAUCAAUUGGAGGGCAAGUCUGGUGCCAGCAGCCGCGGUAAUUCCAGCUCCAAUAGCGUAUAUUAAAAUUGUUGCAGUUAAAAAGCUCGUAGUUGAAUUUCUGCUAAAAAUAACCGGUCUGCUUUUAAUAAGAGUGGUAUCUUGGUGUGUUUUUAGUAAUAAUGUCCUUUGAAGUGUUUUUUACUUUAUUGUAAAAAACAAUAUUCAGGAUUUUUACUUUGAGAAAAUUAGAGUGUUUCAAGCAGGCUUACGUUUUGAAUACUGCAGCAUGGAAUAAUAAAAUAGGAUUUUAGUUCUACUUUAUUGGUUUUAAGAACUAAAUUAAUGAUUGAUAGGGACAGUUGGGGGCAUUUGUAUUUAACU
Molecule: ribosomal RNA, 582 nt
Filed under: Hemolivia sp.
Lineage: Eukaryota; Apicomplexa; Karyolysidae
Description: SSU rRNA
Rfam family: Eukaryotic small subunit ribosomal RNA
Source: RNAcentral